Long non-coding RNA from Balaenoptera acutorostrata (minke whale), 2769 nucleotides. RefSeq lists it as uncharacterized. NCBI's taxonomy places the organism in Eukaryota, Metazoa, Chordata, Mammalia, Artiodactyla, Balaenopteridae. The transcript has 4 exons. The record is from RefSeq and is a predicted model, not a curated record.
GAGAGGAUGGCAUUGGAGCGCCGAAUACCAAUGAAAUUAUCAGCGCUGAAAGACCUUCUCAUAGCAGCUCUACACACGUCUUUGUAUUCGUCGUCACACAAUCUGGAAAUGGCCUAGGAAAGUCAAUCAGGCCACCCACAAAGACAGGUUCACUGUCAAGCGGGCACUUCGAGAGUCUGCUGGAAUUACCUCUCUGGCUCAUCCUGCUUCCCACCCUUGGGGCCCUUCACCAGAGCCAGAUUGGAAGCCUGGCGUUUCAUGCCCAUGUGAGCGUGCCAUCCGUGAGGAGAACCUGCCUAGUUAACUCAAGGCCCCACAAAGUGCCGCUGUGUUUGCUGAGUGCCCUGGGUGAGGCCCCAGGGAUGCUUCCCGGACUACCUGAGAGGUUCUACAAAGACUUUGCUCAGCCAAGCCAAGGCCAGAGGCCAGGUCACAGUUGUAAGUCAGAUAUUUCUGUUAGUCUGAUAUUUCUACUCUGCCCGUGUGAAUUUCCAACCCAAUUUUGGUCACAGGAAUGAAAGGACAUCUGAGCAAAGGGCAUUCUAAAGACACGCAUUGUAUUAUUACCUUCCCACUUGUCAAGGGCAGCACAUACAGCCCAGUGUCGACUUCAACUGUUCAGUAAAUGCUUGAGUGCCUAUCACGUGCAAUGUUAACUACAAGACUGGUGGUGGUUGCAUGGCGAUUUUACAUAACGCUUGAGUGUGUAAAAUUCUGGUAAGACUGAGCACAUCUUUACCUUCUCUUCAGAGUCCCCAGUCCUUCUGUGGCAUGAACUUGAAGAUAAAAACUGGUGGUCAAGAGAGCCUCCCAGUGGCUGCUGCGUGGCACAGCAGGACAGGCAGUCCAAAGGGGCUUGACAGCUAGCUGUCAAGUAUUCCCAUAUUUUAGUGCCUUUUUAAGGAACACACAUGCAUACAAAGGGUAGUCCUUUUCAUAUCCCCAAUUUUUCACAUCUCCAUUAUCAUUUCAUUAUUCAUUUCUGUCUUACAUAAUCUGCAGCUUAGUCAAUUCUUUUGGUUUUAAGGUGGGAAGACCUGCCUGUGUCUGUAUCCCUGGGGCUCCUCUAAACCUGCCGGUUUGUGAGAUGAUUUCCUGGUUUCUUUUACAUGUAUCAAAUGUCUACCCUACAAAGAACUGGAUGGAGUUAACAGCUGAGCAAAGAUGAGAGAGGAACCUACUUUCAUUUGGGAAAAACAGGACCAUACCAUGUGUACAAGACAGAAAUUUCUACAGAUGCUUUACGAAAGAAAAAAUAUCUUACCAAAGUUAUUACUGCACUUUCAGCAGUUAGCUGUGUGGCACUACAAACAGUAUGAACAAAUCUGUAAAUGAAUUUGUGUUCAGGAUCAUGCUCGAAGUAUUCCUCUGGAACCUUUUCUCGCUGAAAGGAGAAAAAAUGCAAUUUAUGUAUCCAUGGAAGAAAAAUACUUAAAAGUACCCUUAAGAUAGCAGUCUUCACACUUGGGCCCACGUGCCCCUUAAAAUAAUUUUGGUUGGGUGACAUGUCUUGUAGUCUUUUAAAUAUAAACAAUGGGAUCCUAAAAUACCACAGUGAUCCAGUACUCACCACCAUUCAUUAAAGAAAAAUACAGGCACAACCGCAGAAAAUUUAUGUAUUUCCACGUUCCUCCCCACAGAAUUCGAACCAAAUGUAAACUAUUGGGUUGGCCAAAAAGUUCAUUUGGUUUUAAGUAAAAAUAAAAGACACAGUUUUCAUUUUCACCAAGCAUUUUAUUGAACAAUAUAUUCACUAACCAAACAAACUUUUUGGCCAACCCAAUAUUUUUAGGCUCAAAAGUCUUGCUGAUCACCAUAUGUCAUACUUUUCUGUAAUCAACUUUGAAAACACAUUCCCAGUGUCCUGUAACCAUAGGGCUCUAAGAAUGCGCUGUCCUGUACAGCAGUCGCCAGCCACGUGUGGCUACAGAGCACCCAAAGAAGUGAAUUUUAAAACUUUGUCAUUUUAAUUCGUUUAAAAUUUAAACAGUUUUCUAAUUUUCUUCUUAGAGGCCUUAUCAUAUUAGGUUUAUUUACAAAUAUUUAUAUUGUUUGAUGCUAUGGAAAAUCAUCCUUUAAAAAGAUACAUUUUCUGUUACUUGGGUAUGUUUACUUACCUGCUCACUAUUCAUACAAAGUGCAACUCGGUUCAUAUCCAUCAACCCCUUAUACAACACGCCUUCGGGAAAAUGACUAGACACAACAUGGCGUGGGGAAGAAGACUUAAAGGAAGAUGAAUUUGACUUCGAGCUGGAGGAAGUAAUUUUCUUCUAGUACUUAAUUUCAAAGCAAAUCAGCAUGAAAUAAACACAACUGUAUAAGAGAAAAAUACCACUUCAAUAAAACUGACACUUACUGUGAGUGGAUGUAAUCUCUCAUCAAAAAUAUCCAAGGAUCUAUCUGCAUCUCUAUAAAAUAAGAAUGUGCAUUUAAAAAAUUAAUUCAGGAGUUACUAUCUUAGUAAAAUAUCUGCUAGGAGUAGAGAGAGGGGUAGAGGAAGCUUAACCUUCAACAAAGCAAACAGUUUUAUAAAUUCUUCUCCUGGAUUCCACCCUUAGAAAGGUUUCCUGACCUAUUUUUACUCAGCACAUCAAGUUCCGUGAAAUCUUUUCUACAACAACCAGCCAGAGUUGCCUCUAUAAGCACUGACCCUCCCUAACAGGCAAUGCUAGUAAACCAAUAUAUUUUCACUCCUCUAACCUCACACUGGAAUAUGCAAGAACAUUUUAUAAAGCAGUGGUGGUGGGCAAUAAAUUCUUCUAACUUCAA